AGAGUUUGAUCCUGGCUCAGGAUGAACGCUGGCGGCGUGCCUAACACAUGCAAGUCGAGCGAUUUACUUCGGUAAAGAGCGGCGGACGGGUGAGUAACGCGUGGGUAACCUGCCCUGUACACACGGAUAACAUACCGAAAGGUAUGCUAAUGCGAGAUAAUAUACUUUUAUCGCAUGGUAGAAGUAUCAAAGCUUUUGCGGUACAGGAUGGACCCGCGUCUGAUUAGCUAGUUGGUAAGGUAACGGCUUACCAAGGCGACGAUCAGUAGCCGACCUGAGAGGGUGAUCGGCCACAUUGGAACUGAGACACGGUCCAAACUCCUACGGGAGGCAGCAGUGGGGAAUAUUGCACAAUGGGCGAAAGCCUGAUGCAGCAACGCCGCGUGAGCGAUGAAGGCCUUCGGGUCGUAAAGCUCUGUCCUCAAGGAAGAUAAUGACGGUACUUGAGGAGGAAGCCCCGGCUAACUACGUG
RNAcentral lists this ribosomal RNA (472 nucleotides) under uncultured bacterium. RNAcentral's name for it is "bacterial SSU rRNA". It matches the Rfam family "Bacterial small subunit ribosomal RNA", at positions 8 to 507 of the family's 1533-position model. The record is from RNAcentral.